GAAUAUCUGAGAAGUGCGUGAUGUGUUGAAUUAUAUUUUGACCUAACACUUUUUUUAACGGGAGCCCGCUUGUUUUCCUACAAAAAACAUGCCUGCUUGACAGGACGUUUGGAGUAGGGAACAGGGCACCCACCUGCAAAUAGCAGGCCAAAAUAAUCAACAAAUACACACGGCUUACGCUCGGAUAUUUC
This 191-nucleotide non-coding RNA is filed under the name Salinicoccus hispanicus. RNAcentral's name for it is "6S RNA". It matches the Rfam family "6S / SsrS RNA". Rfam says of the family: E. coli 6S RNA was the first non coding RNA to be sequenced, but its function was unknown until recently. It consists of 184 nucleotides that fold into an extended hairpin structure with a large single-stranded internal bulge. The record is from RNAcentral. Lineage: Bacteria; Bacillati; Bacillota; Bacilli; Caryophanales; Staphylococcaceae.